Daphnia magna is the source of this 2145-nucleotide long non-coding RNA. RefSeq lists it as uncharacterized. The transcript has 11 exons. The record is from RefSeq and is a predicted model, not a curated record. Lineage: Eukaryota; Metazoa; Arthropoda; Branchiopoda; Diplostraca; Daphniidae.
AUCUUGUAUAAAUUUAUUGUGGAAGAACAGUAAUGCAGAAAAAUCUCUCAUAAGCUUUUGUUCAAUGUAAUGUCAUCACCUCUGCAAUUUUGUUGAAAAACAUUAUGUGCAUUGUGGCAGUGUCAGGAUUCCCAGCAACUAUUUUUAUAGCUUCUUUCAUCCAACUGGAAACUUAUUAUGGAAGAGAAAGUAUAUACAAUAGCUUUUACAACAAUAGUUAAUGUAUUUGUGUUAUCUAAUAUCACAGGUGAGCUGUCGGUCAAAAGUGGCGGUCUCUGUCCCACCCAGACACCCAACACUAAAAGCUGUUUGUUAUGAGGCAUUGAUGAAAAUCUAAGUUGUUUUGGUCUUAGUAAAUCCUGUAAGACUGCAUGACGACCACAGGCAAAGGUUCGGGUUAUGGCUUUUGUUUUUUAUCCUAAUUAGGAAAUACUAAGCAACGUAAUGGUAUUUAAGUUUCAUGUAGGUUUUUUUUGUCACUAGAUGGCAUAUAGGUAAAACUUCAUAAUGGAGGCCGUGGCUAUCUUCAUGGUUAUGGUUUGACCCGUGUCCUGGCAAAUGGCAACCAACAGUUAUUUUAUUAAGGCUUUUUUUGUUUGUUUUUUGUUCGUAUUUUUGCCAGUUAUACUUUCUUUUAUUUGAAUUUUCAAAUGAAUAUGGCAGUGGAAAGCUGAACGGCAAGAAAAAGUUGAUUUGUGAACUGAAUUUUUGAGAGUUACGUGAAUAGAAGGAACAAGAGAUUCUACUAAAGAAGAAAAUGCAUUACAACUUCAAAUUGAGUGGAAGAUUGUUAGUUUUUGCUUCUGCUAUAGAAGCAAACAAAAAAAUUAGUUAUAGCAAAACCUGUACAACUGUAAUCAGGAGCAACCAGGAAUUUGGACAAGAAAGAAACAACCUUUCAACAAGAAAUCAGUUUUGAAGCCUGAGCAAUAUUAAUGCAUUCAACUGCGGCAAAGUAUGCUCCGGUAUUUGACAUGUUUUGGAACGCCAGUGUACUAACAAGAAAUCUACUGGGGCAUCCUUGGCUAUCCAAACAAAUUGAAGCGGAUCUCAAAUACCUACUGGCGAUUUUUCAGUGCCAUUAGAAACCACCAAUUGUUGCGACCAUCUAGUGGUAAUAUUGCUAACCACCAGUUCCAUCUAGUGGCGAGAUUGCAAACCACCAAUUGUAUACGCCACAGCCAUCUAGUGGCGAGAUUGACAAUCAUAAAUUGUAUACGUCACAGCCAUCUGGUGGCGAGAUUGCAAACCAGCCAUCUAGUGGCGAGAUUGCAAACCAGCCAUCUAGUGGCGAGAUAGCAAACCACCAAAUAUCAGUCAGCUGAUAGGUUUUCUGGCGUUCAGUUGCCAUGAUGGUUGCCUCACAGACUUGCCUGUCGGAUUGGAAAUUUGUUGCGAACCCAAGGAUUGUUAUGUAUAUCAGUAUAUCCUGCUGACAGUAUAGUAUUUAUACCAUGUACACCCACUAUCAGCAGCCUUAUAGUGUGCUUCCUAAAUAUGUCAACCCCUGAGAUAACAUUAUCAUUGGAAAUUGUGUUUUUGUUGUAGUUUUCUUCUCCACUUCUAUUAUCCAUAUGCAGUUUUUACGCCACUUCAUUACCUUCAUGGUGUGAUAUUUUAUCAUUCCGGAAAAAGGAGUCUGGAAAUUGAUGUUUCUAAUAUACAGCUGGUGUUCAGAUGAUGAGUUUAAUUUAUUUACAUUUCAGAAUGAACUUUCAAUUGGAAGUUGAGUGUUUUAUCAGAUUAUGGAAUCCUACUUUGAAAACCAAACUAUUUCCUUCUUCAAAUGGAUUUUGAACUAUUGUACAUAUGGUAUUAUGUACUCAAUGAUAUUUUCGUGAAGCCUUUAAUUGACGUUAUACUGAAAAAAUUUCCAUGGAAGGAAGUUCUUGCAGGAUCUGUUAUCGACCGUUUAUGUUAUGCAGUAAUUGGAUCUGCUGUUCAGUUAGAAACUUAAACUUAGAAAUAUUCUCAGCGAAGAAUUUAUAUGAAGAAUGUUAUUUCAUUGGAAAAAGUUCCUGGUUGAGACAAGAGAUUUAAAAAUGAUACUGUUUGGAAAGACGACCGGCAAUUUCAAGAUUCAUUUAUUUCCUUCCACAUUAUAGUAUUAUUAUAUUUAAAAAAGAUUAAAUUGCAUAUCUGGGC